GCUGACUCUCUUUUCAGACUCAGCCCACUUGCACCCAAGUGAAUUAACAGCCUUGUUGCUCACACAAAGCCUGUUUAGGUGGUCUUCUAUACGGACAUGCUUGACACUUGGUGCCAAAAUCUGGGCCAGGGGGACUCCUUCGUGAGACCGGCCCCCUGUCCUGGCCCUCAUUCCGUGAAGAGAUCCACCUGCGACCUCGGGUCCUCAGACCAGCCCAAGGAACAUCUCACCAAUUUCAAAUCGGAUCUCCUCGGCUUAGUGGCUGAAGACUGAUGCUGCCCGAUCGCCUCAGAAGCCCCUUGGACCAUCACAGAUGCCGAGCUUCGGGUAACUCUUACGGUGGAGGGAUCUGCAAUCAGAACUAUUGAACUUCUCCAUUCAGACCGCCACUCACACCUAUGGGAAAAGGGUGGCCUGCAGGAGCCAAGAAGUCUGGAGCAGCCGAAAAACCACAAAGAAGUGAAACAGCCAGUUCCUGCCUUAACUAAUUAACCCACCUUACGACAUUCCACCAUUAUGACUUGUCCACCAUUAUGACUUGUUCCUGCCCUGCCCCAACUGAUCAAUCAACCCUGUGACAUUCUUCUCCUGGACAAUGAGUCCCAUCAUCUCUCCACCAUGCACCUUGUGACCCCCUCCUCUGCUGAGGAUAACCACCUUUAACUGUAACUUUCCACGCCUACCCAAGCCCUAUAAAGCUGCCCCUCUCCUAUCUCCCUUCACUGACUCUCUUUUCGGACUCAGCCCACUUGCACCCAAGUGAAUUAACAGCCUUGUUGCUCACACAAAGCCUGAUUGGGUGUCUUCUAUACGGACACGCGUGACAGGAACCUCAACCCAAAGGCAGUCUGAUGAGGUGUCUAAGAUAAAAGUAGCGGCACAAAGGCUUUUGUAAACAGAGGCGUUUCAUGUGGUUUUCCUUUCCUUUCCUUAUAUGUGAAAAGGUGACAGAAAAGAAAUCUUCCUAAAAGAGUCAGCCACUGC
Molecule: long non-coding RNA, 984 nt
Filed under: Homo sapiens (human)
Lineage: Eukaryota; Metazoa; Chordata; Mammalia; Primates; Hominidae
Description: HSALNT0396295
Source: RNAcentral